CUGUCCAGCGGAAGCUGGGCGGCCCGGGCACCGAGACUGGGAUCUCCGCAGGUCCAGCUACAAGUUCGGGCUCCGCGGCUUCCCGCGACCGUUAACCACGUGAGAGCCCAGCCCACCAAUCCCCGCCCCGCUCUGGGUUUGAAAAAAAAAGGAGGGCGCGACGUAGCCCGCGGGGGAGGAACCAGCUACGCGAUUUUGGCGCGAAACUGCUGGCUCCGCCUCCCUGUCGGCGCGCUGCCAGGCCACCGGCCUAUGAGCGAGCCCGAGGCCGCCUUCAGGGAGGGGCGAAGGGAGCGAGGUACGCCCUGCGGGGCGGCCCCGAGGGCCGCCCCGAGGGCCGCCCCGGGGUCUGAAUCUCUGUGGGCGGCGUGGGGGCCUCCUGGUUCCCUGCGGGCCGGCAGCAGCCGGAGCCGCCUGCAGCCAGGCGUCCCUUUGGCGCUAGCCACUGGGGCGCUGUGGGCGUGGCGGUGUGCAGUCACGUUUCGGACUCGAGGUCGGGCCUCCGGACCUUCCUGAAUUCUGUGAACCUGGUGUGCCUAGGAGGGACACCGAGGUCAACCAGAGGACCCACACGCGAGUUCUCGACGCGAAGACACUGGCUGGGGGGCGCGUCCUCUGAGCCUCAGUUUGCUCAGGUGGUGGCUAUUGGGGGCGGGUGCGACCUCCUGAGGUGAGCUCUCCAGGCCUGUGGUCCCCUAUGCAGCCGAGCCAAGGCUUGUCCCGGUAAACAGAAGCAGCACCCCCGCGGCGCUACCCCAAACUGGUGCCCACCAAGCGACCACGGUGUUUGUCAGCCUGCACGUGGGCCUGUGUUGGCAAAACGGGUUGGCCAGGCAGCUAAGGUCUAACUAGAGAAAACAAUUCCCCUCCUACCAUGUCGAACCGUCCCUUAUUGCACACACAAGAUUUCUUUCCCAGUUUUUCUGUUGUAAAUAACCCCGCGACUAAUAUCCAUCUUUCUCCGUGGUAUUAUUAUUAUUUAGGAUACAUUGCUGGAGUGGGAAUUACUGGGUCAAAGGAUUUAAGCUGCCAAAUUUGCCCUCCAGGAAAACAAUUUGUAUUCUCACUACCAGUAGAUUACAGCACGCUUUUUGUGAAUUUUGGAUGUCAGCGGAUAUUUAAUGUUUGUUCAGCCAUGCCCUGGAAGCAAAAUGAAUCUCCUGGAGAAUUGAGGAGUCCCUGUAUCUCUCAAGCCAGGAUCUUACUGAGUUGCUAAGGCUGGCCUCAAACUUGCAAUCCUCCUGCCUCAGCCUCCUAAAUCACUGAGACUACAGUCCUAGGUAUUGAGUCUGGAACCUUGAACACACUUGUUAGUGGGCUACAUCCUAGCCCAGCUGGGAGAAAUUGUACCUUAUUCAAGCCAUGACCAUGUCCCAAUCAAACCUUGGCAGAUACUUCAACUUAAAGAAGACCUGGUACCAAGUAGGAAUGGCUAAGAAGGUCCAGAAGCCCAUUCACCUUCAGCAAAGAGAAGUAAAACAACUGUUGUGGAUAUCACAUCCACGAGGGACCUCAACUUAGGUUGUUCCCAUACCCUGUUGACAAGACUCUAAGAAUAACCAUGGAGGGUACACCCCAUAUAUUCAUCUUUCUACAACACACCUGCCUGAACUACUAGAAGGACCCUACUCUUGAGAGGCCUACAAAGAAAAUGAAUCCCUCACGCUCCAAUAUAGUACACACUGUGUCAAAACCAACUAAUCACAGCCAAAGAAGCCAUAAGGAAACUACAUUAUAAAGUCCAUUUGCAAUCAAACUCAACACUACUCAACAAACUGAAAUGCCAGGACUCACUGUCAAGAGAAGGCUGCUCACUAAGAAGAGGCUCACAUAAAAUUAGAAUAGAUUUCUAUCCCAACAGAUGCUUAAAUCUGUACACAAAAACACACAAUAUGAAAAAAACAGAACAACUCUAAAAAUUCAUUACUCUCUAAUAACUGUCCGAAGGUAAUGAAGGGGUGAGAUGCUGGACAAAAAAUUCAAAAGAAUGAUUUUAAAAUGAUUCAUGAGCUGGGUGCAGUGGCACACACCUCUAAUCCCAGCAGCUUGGGAGGCUGAGGCAAGAGGAUCACAAGUUCAAAGCCAGCCUCAGCAACAGCGAGGUGCUAAGAAACUCAGUGAGACCCUGUCUCUAAAUAAAAUAUAAAAUAGAGUUGGGGAUGUGUCUCAGUGGUUGAGUGCCCCUGAGUUCAAUGUCCCGUAUCCCCACCCCUCCUGCUAAAAAAAAAAAAAAAAAAAAAGAUUAAUGAAUUGAAAGAUGAUACAAAUAGGGGCUGGGGUUGUAGCUCAGUGGUAGAGUGCUCACCUAGCAUGCAUGAGGCACUGGGUUCGAUCCUCAGCACCACAUUAAAAAAACGUAAAAUAUAUUGUGUCCACCUAAAAUUUAAAAAUAUAUUUUUUUAAAAAAGAAAAAAGAUGAUACAAAUAAACAGCUGAACGAAUGAAUUAAGGAAAACAGUAUAGGGCACAAAAGAACAAUUCAAUAAAGAAAAAGAAUUUCUGAAAAAGAACUAAAGAGAAAUCUUGGAAACAGAUCUCAAUAAGUCAAAUAAAAAGCUUAGUUGAAAAUCUCAUGAAUAAACUAGAUCAAGUAGAAGAAAGAAUAUCAGAACUUAAAGAAAAUAAGCAUAUUCAGACAGUAAUGAACAAAAUAAGAAUGAACAGAACAUGCAAGAUUUAUUGGACAUCAUUAAAAAUCAAGCACAAAUAUAAAUAGAAUAAGCAAGGGAGAAGUAUAGGUUAAAGGCCUCAAAAAAAAUUCCUAAAUCUUUUGAAAGAUAUAGACAUGGAGGGAUAGAAGGCAUUUAGAACCCCAAACAGACAUGACCAGAAAAGAACUGCUUUAUGACAUAUUGUAGUUGAAGUGCCAAAAGCAUAGAACAAAGAAAUAAUAAUAAAAGCUGUGAGAGAAGCACCAAGUCAUAUAUAAAGGCAGACUUAUCAGAAUAACAGCAGAUUUCUCAUCAGAACUGUAACAGGUAAUAGGGCACAGAAUCAUGUAUUUUAAUCCCUGAUAGUAAAUAAAUGUGAAUGUAGAUUACUACAUCCAGCAAAGUUUCCUUCAGAAUUAAAGAAGAAAUAAAGACUUUCCAAGGUAAGUAUACACUACAGGAAUUCAUGACUACUAAACCAGCAUUACAAAAGACACUUAAAGAGGAAGAAAGAUAAACAAUCACAAACUAAUGGGAUGGGGUUAGGGAUGUGGCUCAAGCAGUAGCGCGCUCCCCUGGCAUGGGUGCGGCCCAGGUUCGAUCCUCAGCACCACAUACAAACAAAGAUGUUGUGUCUGCCGAAAACUAAAAUGUAAAUAAAAUAUAAAAAAGAAAAAACAAACUAAUGGGAAAGGAUAAAUGUCAUUAGAAGAGUAGAGCAGUAAAUGAGAAUUAGCAAAGAAUCAAAACAUUAGAAUAACAACAGGAAUUAUACACUCUUCAAUAAUAACCCUUAAUAUAAAUGGUCUUAUUUCUCCAAUUAAAAGAUGCAGACUAGCUGAUCAAAUUAUUAAAAAAAAAUAAAAAUAAAAAGGCCCACUGUAUGCUGUAAUGCCUCUCUGUAAUCCCAGCUACUUGGGAAGUUAAGGCAGAGUGAUCACUAGAUCUCAAUUCCAACCCAGGAAUCUUACAGAGGCUCUCUCAAAAUAAAACAUAAAAAGGGCAGGUGAUAUAGCUCAGUGGUAGACCUCUGUAUUUAGUCCCUAGUACUGACAACAAAACAAAAUACAUGAGCAUCUUAACAGAUGCAGAAAAAAUCUUUGAUGAAAUCCAACAUCCCUUCAUGUUAGCCCUGAGUAAAUCAAAUAAAGGAUCAUACUUCAACAUAAUAAAGGCUGUGUGUGACAAUCCCCCAGCCAACACCAUACUUGAAUGGGGAAAAACUGAAGCAUUUCCUUUAUAAUAAAAAAUAGCACAAGGGCACAUGCUUGUAAUUUCAGCAACCCAGGAAGCUAAGGCAGGAGAAUUCCAAGUUCCAGGCCAGUCUCAGCAAUUUAGGUCCUAAGCAACUUUGCGAGACCCUGUCUCAAAAUGAAUAAUAUAAAUAAAAAAGGGAUGGGGAUGUAGCUCAGUGGUAAAGAACCCUGGGCUCAACUCUUAGUACCAAAAAAAAAAAAAAAAAAAGAGUAAGUGUGUCCACUUUCACCACUCUUAUUCAAUAUAUAUAGUAUUUGAUAUUUCAGCCAAAGCAAUCAGACGAGAAAGGAAGAAAGAAAAAAAGCGGAUACAAACAGAAAAGGAGGAAGUCAAAUCAUCCCUGUUUUCAGAUGAUUGGAUUCUAUACUUAGAAAAUCCUAAGGACUCCACCAAUGACUCUUAGAACUGAUACAAAAAUUCAGCAAAGAAUCAGUAUACAAAACCAAUGUACAAAACUCAGGCCAGAUACAGUGGCACAUCCCUGUUAUCUCAGCAACCCAGGAGAUCAAGACAGGAGGAUCACAAGUUUGAGGCUGGCCUCAAUAACUUAAUGAGGCUCUUGGCAAUUUAGUGAGACCCUGUCUCAAAUAAAAUUAAAAAGGGCUGGGGACAUGGCUUAGUGAUAAAGUUUCCCUGAGUUAAAUCCCAGUACCAAAAACAAAAAGCAAAAAUUAGUAAUUUUUCUAUACACCAAUAACGAAUUACCAGAGGGGAGAAAAAUCAGGUAAACAAUCCCAUUCACAAUAUCACCUCCACACCAAAAUAUAAAAAUACCUAGGAAUAAGCCUAACCAAAGAAGUGAAAAACUUCUACAAUGGAAGUUAUAAAAUGAAAAAGAAGUUGAAGAAAGACACCACAAGAUGGAAAGACUUCCCAUGAUCACAGAUUGGGAGAAUUAAUAUUGUUAAAAUGGCCAUACUGGGCUGGGGUUGUGGCUUAGCAAUAGAGCACCCGCCUACCAUGUGUGAGGCCCUGGAUUCAAUCCUCAGCACCACAUAAAAAUAAAUAAAUAAAAUAAAGGUAUUGGGUCCAACUACAACUAAAAAAUAUUAAAAAAAAAAAAAAAAAAAGGCCAACUGUAGAGUUGGUAAGUAUGCCCAGGCCAAACAAUGAGGUUGAAUACAUGGGUAGUCGCUCCAAAAGAGUGCUGAGUUUCUACUGCACAUGCUUAAAAUAUCUUAAGGGUCUAGAUGUACAUUCUCUACUCAUUGAACUUAUCCAGGUGAAUGAAGCAACAAGAUGGGCUGCUACACUUACAAAGUGCAUGGUCAGAUUAACUCAUACACGAGCUCCCCUGCCACAUCAAGAUGAUCUUUACUGAAAAGGAAUAAAUUGUUCCUAAGCCAGAAAAGGCUGCACAAAAGAAAAAGAUCCCAGAAGAAACAAAAACUCAUGGCACUGGAAUAAAUUCAGCAUAAAACAAAUGCAAAUAAAACUUAAAAAAAAAAAAGUCACACUAUUGAAAAGUAACUACAGAUUCAGUCAAUCCCCAUCAAAACAUCAAUGACAGGGCUGGAGUUAUGGCUCAGUGGGAGAGUGCUUGAUACAUGAGGGACUAGAGUUCAAUCCCCAGUACCACAUUAAAAAAAACAAAAUGUUAAACAAAAUAAAAGGUAUAUCCAUCUACAACUAAAAAUAUUUUUUUUAAAUUACAUUCUUCAUAGGAAAAUUAAAAAAAAAAAAUCCAUCCUAAAAUUAUAAGGAAGGACAAACCCUGAAGAGCCAAAGAAAUCCUGAGCACAAAACAAGAUAAUGCUGGAGGUAUCAUAAUAUCUUAUUUCAAAAUAUACUUCAGAGUCACAAUAACCAAAACAGCAUGGUCUUGGCAUAAAAACAGAUAUGUACCACCAGGUGCAGUGACACACACCUAUAAUACCAGUGACUCUGGAGGCUGAGGCCCUAAGCAAGUUAGUAAGAUCCUGUUUCAAAAUAAAAACUAAAAAAUGUCAGGGAUGUGGUUUUGUGGUAAAGCACCCCUGGGUUCAAGCUCUACUAUAAAACAAAACAAACAGAAAACAGACAUGUAAACCAAAAUACAAAAAAGGAGCCAGAAAUAAACCCACACAUCCACAACCAUCUGCUUCUCAAAAAAAUUACCAAAAGCAUGUUAGAAAAAAGAUAGCCUCUUCAACAAAUGGUGCUGGGAAAACUCUGGAAACCCACAUGUAGAAGACUGAAACUAGAUCUCUAUCUCUCACCCUAAAAUGAACUUAAGGCUGGGCACAGUGGCACACAAUCUGUAAUCCCAGCAGCUCCGGAGGCUGAGGCAGGAGAAUGGAGAGUUCAAAGCAGACCUCAGCAACUUAGUGAGACCCAAAGCAACUCAGCUACUCAGCAAGACUCUGUCUCUAAAAUUAAAAAAAAAAAAAAAAGGAAAGAAAAAGAAAAGGGAUCAAAGGCCUUAAUGUAACAUCUGAAUCUGAUAUUGGAAAAAAACAUAUGGGAAACAUUUCAAGAUACUGGCAUAGGAAGUACUGAAUAAGACUCUAACAGGCCAGGAAAUAAAAGCAAUAAUUGACAAACCAAAUUACAUUGAGUUAAAAAGCUUCAGCAAACGAGAGGAAACAGUCAAUAGAGUAAAGAGACAACCUACAGAAUAGGAGAACAUCUUUGCUAGUAUUCAUGUAAUUGAGGAUUAAUAUCCAGAAUAUAUUAAAAAAACCUCAAAAAUUUAAUAAUGAAAGAAUAAUCCAAUCAAUAAAUGGACAAAUGACCCGAAUAGACAGUUCUCAAAAGAAGAUACACAAAUGGCUAAUAAAUGUGAAAAAAUGCUCAAUAUCUUUAGCCAUCAGAGAAAUGUAAAUGGAAGUAUGCCGAAGCCAGCAUAAUGAUGCAUGCCUGUAAUCACAGCAACUCAGGAGGCUGAGGCAGGAGGAUCCUGAAUUUGAAGCUAGCAUGGGAAACUGAGCAAGACCCUAUCUGAAAAUAAAAAAUAAAAAGGGCUGAGGAUAUGACUCAAUGGUAGAGCUCCCUGGGUUCAAUCCCCAGUACCCACAAACAAAACAAAACAAACUAAUGCUGGUGAGGAUGUGAAGAAAAGGAACCUUUAUACAUUUCUGUUGGUGGGAAUGUAAAUUAGUACAGCCACUAUUGAAAACACUAUGGAAGUUCCUCAGAAAACUAUUCAGCUAUACCACUCUUGGGGAUAUACCCGAAGGAAAUGAAGUCAGCAUACAAAAGAGAUCCCCCUGCAGGACUGGGGUUGUGGCUCAGUGGUAGAGCACUUGCCUAGCAUGUGUGAGGCACUGGGUUCGAGUCUCAGAACCACAUAUAAAUAAAUGAAUAUUUAUUGGGGCUGGGGAUGUGGCUCAAGUGCUAGUGCGCUUGCCUGGCAUGUGCGGGGCGCUGGGUUCGAUCCUCAGCACCACAUUAAAAAAAAUAAAUAAAUAAAGAUGUUGUGUCCACCGAAAACUAAAAAAUAAAUAUUAAAAAAUUCUCUCUCUUGGGCUGGGGAUGUGGCUCAAGUGGUAACGUGCUCACCUGGCAUGCGCGGGGCACUGGGUUUGAUCCUCAGCACCACAUAAGAUAAAAAAUAAAGAUGUUGUGUCCACCAAAAACUGAAAAAUAAAUAUUAAAAAAAUUCUCUCUUAAAAAAAAUUUUUUUCUCUCUAAAAACAUAAAUAAACAAAAAAAUAAAAAAAUAAAGGCCCAUCAACAUCUUUAAAAAUUCUGAAAAAAAAAAGAGAGAUCCCUGCAUAUCCAUUUAUUAUAGCCAAGACAUGGAAUCAACCUAUGUGCCAAUCAAUAGAUGAAUGGAUAAAAUAAUAUGUAUAUAUACACAAUGGAGUAUUUAAAAUAAAGUCUCAUAGAAAAGAAUUAAAUCCUGUCAUUUGUAGCAAAAUGGAUAGAAAUGGAGACCAUCAUGUUAAGUGAAAUAAGCAAGACAGAAAAGGACAAGUAUUAUUACAUGUCUUCUCUCAUAUAUGAAGACUAAAAAGAAAAAAUAAAUAAUCUGUAAAUAGAAGAGGGAUUAUUAAGGAAGAGAAGGGGGAAGAGGGAGAGAGAAGAUGAGAAUAGUAGGGAAGGUAGAUACAAUAAAAGCAUGAUAUAUGCAUGUAUGGAAAUGACACACUGAAACUCAUUGAUUUGUAGAAUUAAAAUGUGUUAAUAGUUAUAAUAAAAACAGGAAAAAAUAUGAGUUUAUUUUUUUGUGGAACUAGGGAUUACACUCUACCACUAAGCUACAGCCCCAAUCCUUUUUAUUUGCAUUUACUUAUUUAUUUUAAUAGAUUUAAGAGCAUUAUAUUUCUAAUGAACAAUUAAAUCAGGAAAAUAGAGAUAAAUAUUGUAUUGAUAUUUUGGAAUCCCAGUAUUAAGACCACAAAUAAGUCUUAGCCCACAUCUACUUCCAAUGACUCAGAUGUUUCUUUCUAAUGAAUUGAUCAUUACAUUUCCAAAUUUCUGAAAUGGCCAACAGACAACAGAAAGACAUUUAUUUAGGCUCUUGCUUGGAACAGUUUCAACAAACUGCUAGCCUUGAUUUAGAGACAAAUUAUUUUUAAUUUUGAGACAGGGUCUCACUGAAUUUCCCAAGCUGGCCGUGAACUUGCAAUCCUCCUGCCUUAGUGUCAAGUUUAAAAAACAAGAUGCAGAAAAGUAUCAUUUACUGCCAUUAAAAAAAGAAAGAAGGGAAGACAACUAUUUAUUUGUAUAUGCUUAAAGAAUUACUGGAAGAACACAUCAAAGGUUAAUAAAAGUGAAUUAUCUGUAGGGGCAAAAACUGAGUAGAUAAGAGGCAGGGAUGGGAGGACACUUUCCACUGUACACCUAUAUAUAUAUUUUUGUCCUUUUUUUUUUUUUUUUGUGUGUGUGUGUGUAGUGCUGGAGGUGGAACCCAGGGCCUCAUUCAUACUAGGCAAGGGCUCUACUACUGGCUCUACCAUGUCCCUAUUUUUUUUUUUUAAUUAUGUGAGUAUAUUAAUACCUAGAAAAUUUAAUAAAGUAAAAAUAAGUAAAUUUUGCAAAUAAAUUAAUUUCUUUAGUAUAUGAUGAUGAUGAUGGUGAUAAGAGCUACCAGUAAGGAAUACUUAAUAUACAGCUGGGCUGAGUACUUUACAUGCAUUAUCUCAUUUAAUCCUUAUAUUGAUCUUAUGGAGCAGAUAGAACUAUCACUCUUAAUUAAAGAUGAACAAAAAAACAGACUCUGAGGGUUAAUUAGCUAAGAAAUUCCAAAACUGGAUUCAAUUUGAAGUUUUUGUGCCUAACCACUGUCAUAUAUAUAAAGUUGUAUAACAGAUUUUUUUUUCAUAUGUGCAACAGUUUUGAAAUGGAUAUAUGUAUUGACUGAUAUAACAGACAAAGGUAAUUACCUGCU
Molecule: long non-coding RNA, 9222 nt
Organism: Marmota monax (woodchuck)
Lineage: Eukaryota; Metazoa; Chordata; Mammalia; Rodentia; Sciuridae
Exons: 4
Source: RefSeq, a predicted model, not a curated record